Hyla sarda is the source of this 776-nucleotide long non-coding RNA. RefSeq lists it as uncharacterized. NCBI's taxonomy places the organism in Eukaryota, Metazoa, Chordata, Amphibia, Anura, Hylidae. The record is from RefSeq and is a predicted model, not a curated record. The transcript has 4 exons.
GUCAAUGGGACACCUCUGAUCUUUCUGGGCCAAAGACAAACAGUAACCUUUCAUCACUUGCUUAGACUUGGUAAAAAGAAUUAAGGGGGCGCACUCCCAUCCAUUUCUGAGAGAAAGCUGUACCUUCUAAAAUAUUAGAAAGAUUUUUGUGUAAAAUUUCUGAUGCGCAGCUGCUCUGGGACUGCUCAGGCAGCCGACAGUCCUCCAGCGGCACGACUUCUGAUGUCAUUUGCGUAGCAACAUUAUGACGUGGCUCCGCCUCCUCCUCAUCGUUGGUCCUACUUCCAUGCGGGUUUCGGCUCACUAACGCUGGCGGAAAUGAGGACAGGAAUCCAAGCUGGUUCCUCUUCUUUCUUCACAGACUGGUCCACACUGCUGAGCUGGCUGGGUUUAUAUUGAACUGAAGAUUCCCGCCGUGGAGGUUAAGAGCCAAUCAGAAACCGAUCCAAUCUGCCCAGCAGCAGCCGGCACUGUAACUUGGCACCACACCUCCUAGGUUCAGCAUUCCGUUUCAGUAUGGAUUACUAUAUUACUGUCGUCUCAAACCCUUCCCGCAAUCCUGUUCGGCUACAGACGACAGCUGAUCACAGGGGGCCUUACUUCUUCCUGACCUCCCUGACCAAGCUAGCCCUCUGAUGACGUGUGCUCUCUAUCUGGACAUCCCGAAUUGCCAGCAUUCACUGCGUCCCCGCAUAUUGCAGACUGCCGAGAUCACGUGACGUCAGCAAGUCCCUGUCCAACCCUGCCUACAGAAUCCAGGAUUUGAAAUUGUAGAA